GGGUUGUGAGGUUAAGCGAAUAAGCGUACACGGUGGAUGCCUAGGCAGUCAGAGGCGAUGAAGGACGUGCUAAUCUGCGAAAAGCGUCGGUGAGCUGAUAUGAAGCGUGAUAAGCCGGCGAUGUCCGAAUGGGGAAACCCAGUGCAAUGCGUUGCACUAUCGUUUGAUGAAUAGAUAGUCAAACGAGGCGAACCGGGGGAACUGAAACAUCUCAGUACCCCGAGGAAAAGAAAUCAACCGAGAUUCCCCCAGUAGCGGCGAGCGAACGGGGAGGAGCCCAGAGUCUGCAUCAGUGAAAGUGUGAGUGGAAGCGUCUGGAAAGGCGGACAAGAGAGGGUGACAGUCCCGUACACGAACAUGCCUUUACUGUGAGCUCGAUGAGUAGGGCGGGACACGAGAUAUCCUGUCUGAAGAUGGGGGGACCAUCCUCCAAGGCUAAAUACUCCUGACUGACCGAUAGUGAACCAGUACCGUGAGGGAAAGGCGAAAAGAACCCCGGCGAGGGGAGUGAAAGAGAACCUGAAACCGUGUACGUACAAGCAGUGGGAGCCCUGAGCAAUUGGGGUGACUGCGUACCUUUUGUAUAAUGGGUCAGCGACUUAUAUUCUGUAGCAAGGUUAACCGAAUAGGGGAGCCGCAGGGAAACCGAGUCUUAACUGGGCGCAAGAGUUGCAGGGUAUAGACCCGAAACCCGGUGAGCUAGCCAUGGGCAGGUUGAAGGUUGGGUAACACUAACUGGAGGACCGAACCGACUAAUGUUGAAAAAUUAGCGGAUGACUUGUGGCUGGGGGUGAAAGGCCAAUCAAACCGGGAGAUAGCUGGUUCUCCCCGAAAGCUAUUUAGGUAGCGCCUCGUGAGUUCAUCUUCGGGGGUAGAGCACUGUUUCGGCUAGGGGGCCAUCCCGGCUUACCAACCCGAUGCAAACUGCGAAUACCGAAGAAUGUCAUCACGGGAGACACACGGCGGGUGCUAACGUCCGUCGUGAAGAGGGAAACAACCCAGACCGCCAGCUAAGGUCCCGAAGUCAUGGUUAAGUGGGAAACGAUGUGGGAAGGCCCAGACAGCCAGGAUGUUGGCUUAGAAGCAGCCAUCAUUGAAAGAAAGCGUAAUAGCUCACUGGUCGAGUCGGCCUGCGCGGAAGAUGUAACGGGGCUAAACCAUGCACCGAAGCUGCGGCAGCGACAUGUAAGUGUGGCUGGGUAGGGGAGCGUUCUGUAAGCCGUUGAAGGUGGCGCUGUGAGGCCUGCUGGAGGUAUCAGAAGUGCGAAUGCUGACAUAAGUAACGAUAAAGCGGGUGAAAAACCCGCUCGCCGGAAGACCAAGGGUUCCUGUCCAACGUUAAUCGGGGCAGGGUGAGUCGACCCCUAAGGUGAGGCUGAAAAGCGUAGCUGAUGGGAAACAGGUUAAUAUUCCUGUACUGAAUGUGACUGCGAAGGGGGGACGGAGAAGGCUAGGCCAUCCGGGCGACGGUUGUCCCGGUUUAAGCGUGUAGGUGGAGAGAGCAGGAAAAUCCGCUCUUUUAUUCACACUGAGGCGUGAUGACGAGCCGCUACGGCGGUGAAGUGGUUGAUGCCCGGCUUCCAGGAAAAGCCUCUAAGCAUCAGGUCACAUUGAAUCGUACCCCAAACCGACACAGGUGGUCAGGUAGAGAAUACUCAGGCGCUUGAGAGAACUCGGGUGAAGGAACUAGGCAAAAUGGUGCCGUAACUUCGGGAGAAGGCACGCUGGCGUUAGGUGAAGGGCGCACGCCCGGAGCUGAGGCCAGUCGCAGAGACCAGCUGGCUGCAACUGUUUAUUAAAAACACAGCACUGUGCAAACACGAAAGUGGACGUAUACGGUGUGACGCCUGCCCGGUGCUGGAAGGUUAAUUGAUGGGGUUAGCGCGCGAGUGCGAGGCUCUUGAUAGAAGCCCCAGUAAACGGCGGCCGUAACUAUAACGGUCCUAAGGUAGCGAAAUUCCUUGUCGGGUAAGUUCCGACCUGCACGAAUGGCGUAAUGAUGGCCAGGCUGUCUCCACCCGAGACUCAGUGAAAUUGAACUCGCUGUGAAGAUGCAGUGUCCCCGCGGCAAGACGGAAAGACCCCGUGAACCUUUACUAUAGCUUGACACUGAACAUGGAGCCUUGAUGUGUAGGAUAGGUGGGAGGCUUGGAAGUGUGGACGCCAGUCUGCAUGGAGCCAUCCUUGAAAUACCACCCUUGAAUGUUUGAUGUUCUCACUUAGGCCCGUGACCCGGGCUGAGGACAGUGUCUGGUGGGUAGUUUGACUGGGGCGGUCUCCUCCUAAAGCGUAACGGAGGAGCACGAAGGUUAGCUAAUCACGGUCGGACAUCGUGAGGUUAGUGCAAAGGCAUAAGCUAGCUUGACUGCGAGAGUGACGGCUCGAGCAGGUACGAAAGUAGGUCUUAGUGAUCCGGUGGUUCUGUAUGGAAGGGCCAUCGCUCAACGGAUAAAAGGUACUCCGGGGAUAACAGGCUGAUACCGCCCAAGAGUUCAUAUCGACGGCGGUGUUUGGCACCUCGAUGUCGGCUCAUCACAUCCUGGGGCUGAAGUAGGUCCCAAGGGUAUGGCUGUUCGCCAUUUAAAGUGGUACGCGAGCUGGGUUUAGAACGUCGUGAGACAGUUCGGUCCCUAUCUGCCGUGGGCGCAGGAAGAUUGAAAGGGGCUGCUCCUAGUACGAGAGGACCGGAGUGGACGCACCACUGGUGUACGGGUUGUCAUGCCAAUGGCAUCGCCCGGUAGCUAAGUGCGGGAGAGAUAACCGCUGAAAGCAUCUAAGCGGGAAACUUGCCUUGAGAUGAGUCUUCCCUUGACUUUAGGUCACGGAAGGAACGUUUAAGACGAAGACGUGGAUAGGCUGGGUGUGUAAGUGCAGUGAUGCAUUGAGCUGACCAGUACUAAUGAGCCGAGAGGCUUAACCUUACAACGCCAAAGGGGUUUUG
This 2941-nucleotide ribosomal RNA is filed under the name Photorhabdus heterorhabditis. RNAcentral describes it as "bacterial LSU rRNA". It matches the Rfam family "Bacterial large subunit ribosomal RNA". The record is from RNAcentral. Lineage: Bacteria; Pseudomonadati; Pseudomonadota; Gammaproteobacteria; Enterobacterales; Morganellaceae.